GGAACUUGUAAAGCCAUGCGGUAAUGAUGAAAAGGCUGGGGAGUAAGGCAUUACUGUAGAGGGAGAGGCAGACGCAUAGGACAUUCCCUAACGAGGAGAGUUAUGUUACGAAUGAUGGGUUAUGUUAUGUAUAGAUAUUUUAUUUUGGAUGGACUCUGAGAGUCUUUUAUGGAUGAAUGUUUGAAUAGAAUGUCCAUCAGGUGUUCCCUUUUUUUAAAUGAAAAAUUUAGAGUGCACGUGUGUCAUGUCCAU
Juglans microcarpa x Juglans regia is the source of this 252-nucleotide long non-coding RNA. RefSeq lists it as uncharacterized. Lineage: Eukaryota; Viridiplantae; Streptophyta; Magnoliopsida; Fagales; Juglandaceae. The record is from RefSeq and is a predicted model, not a curated record. The transcript has 4 exons.